GUGCCAGCAGCCGCGGUAAGACGGAGGGCGCAAGCGUUGUUCGGAAUUACUGGGCGUAAAGCGCGAGCAGGUGGUCUGUUAAGUCUUUUGUGAAAACCCGGGGCUCAACUCCGUGGAAUGCAGAAGAUACUGGCAGGCUAGAGAACAGUAGAGGCUAGCGGAAUUCCUGGUGUAGCGGUGGAAUGCGUAGAUAUCAGGAAGAACACCUGUGGCGAAGGCGGCUAGCUGGGCUGUUUCUGACACUCAUCCGCGAAAGCGUGGGGAGCAAACAGGAUUAGAUACCCUUGUAGUCC
Molecule: ribosomal RNA, 293 nt
Filed under: uncultured bacterium
Lineage: Bacteria
Description: partial 16S ribosomal RNA
Rfam family: Bacterial small subunit ribosomal RNA
Source: RNAcentral